AGGGAGACCUACCCAGUUGUAAGAUUGCUCGCCCUAGGGAUGUGCAAUCGCAACAGGUCAACCAGGUCGUUCGGGUGGGUUAUGUAGAGCUUGGCUUUCAGACGGUCUAGGGCAAGGGCAAAUGGGCUAUUAGCUCAGGUGGUUAGAGCGCACCCCUGAUAAGGGUGAGGUCCCUGGUUCGAGUCCAGGAUGGCCCACCAUUGAACGGGGGUAUGGCUCAGUUGGUAGAGCGCCUGCUUUGCACGCAGGAUGUCAGCGGUUCGAGUCCGCUUACCUCCACUCCUGCCCGAGAGCCAAACAAAAUUGCUCCGGUUUAAGAUGACAGCAACCAACAAUCGUAGACAGUGGACGAUUGAGGACUGCUGGAAUUUUACUUCCGGCAUCAGAACCUUGAAAACUGCAUAGCAACAAAUAGAUUUUCUGUCAGGUAAAGAAUCAUGGAUUGAAUCAGCGAGUAGCUGCAAUUCGUGAUACACAGACACCAAGAAAAAGCGCGAAAU
This 500-nucleotide transfer RNA is filed under the name uncultured cyanobacterium. Its description in RNAcentral is "16S-23S ribosomal RNA intergenic spacer". The stretch from base 207 to 279 matches the Rfam family "tRNA". The record is from RNAcentral. Lineage: Bacteria; Bacillati; Cyanobacteriota.